GACUAUCGUUGAUGAUGUUCUUACCGGAGGGAACAUAAACUUCGUUUUUCACUUCAUUCUAAAAGACCACGAGAUUUGACAAACUUCAGCAAAUCUUGAAAGUAAACAUGACGAGUUCUCGUAAAAUCCUCGGGUUUUGUUUGCAAUACAGCUCGCCGCCUAAAACAAUCGCGACUUUACAUUGAAAAGAAACGAAGAGCAGGCAAAAUAGUAAAAUUUCUUCUUUCGUCAACGUGAUUGAAGCUGAUAUGAAAUAAGAUAGUUUGAAGAGCCGUCGUUUCGCAAGGCGUUUGCUUCUCGUAAGCAGAAAUUGUGAUAUUUUCCAAGAGGCGACAAGUAUACAAUAUAAGGCCAGAAAUAUAACACACAAGCGCCGUUUAACAGUCAAGAAUUUCGGCUAUUUCAUUGGAAUAUCUUGAACAAUUAGGACUAAUCAUUGACAGAAUUUCUCCGUCUGUUUUCAAAUAAACAUUAGAAUAAAGAUGAUGUUUAUAGCACAAUGAAAAUACCACAUAGCGAUGUUAUAUUAACGAUUAUUUUUGUGCGACUAAAUCAGCUUAAAUAUAAUUUAUAGAGGUAAUUGGAGAGGAGCAGAAUUUCCUCAUUACGAGCAAGUGAGCGUAUGUUACGCACGAGAAAAGAAAGAGGAAAUACGAAAGACAUUCUUUAGCGUAUAUUUAUAGUCGAAUGUAUAAACAAAGUAAGAGAGGGAGGCAGUCCUAGGAGUUAGGUAUAUACACAAAUAAAAACAUAAAGAUGUUCA
This is a long non-coding RNA of Xenia sp. Carnegie-2017, 763 nucleotides long. RefSeq lists it as uncharacterized. The record is from RefSeq and is a predicted model, not a curated record. NCBI's taxonomy places the organism in Eukaryota, Metazoa, Cnidaria, Anthozoa, Malacalcyonacea, Xeniidae. The transcript has 2 exons.